UGUUGUUAAGCAUCUACUCAGUGUGAAAUAAUGGUUCUCUAAACAUAUACUUACUGUGAUAUGGUGAUGUAAUGGCACAUGUUCAUUGUGCUGUAGUGAUGUAAUACUGAGGCAUUUAAGAGAGUCUCAGACACAGAAGACUCUCUCUCAGCCAUGGACACAGAAGAGUCUCAGACACAGAGAAGAUUCGGGACUCCAUCUAUGACCAGCUUUGUGGUGGCUCUCCUGCUUUCAUCACUCCUCCACUAAGACCAAGGACUCAGUUACCCUACAAAUGGAGGAACCUCUCCCCUCUAUCUAACCAAACAGAAGUCCAGUUCUCAGUUCCAUCACUUCCAGGUCUGGCUAAUUUGGCAAAAUCUCCAUGGAAGAGCAGAAAAGAACUGCAUGAAAACAGUGCAACAUUUAAUACUAAAUAGAAUUCUGACAACUGUUCAACGGAACCACAGAAAAGUGAGCAUGAAAAUCACGCACAAGUUUAGAAGCAUGAA
Antechinus flavipes (yellow-footed antechinus) is the source of this 491-nucleotide long non-coding RNA. RefSeq lists it as uncharacterized. The transcript has 3 exons. NCBI's taxonomy places the organism in Eukaryota, Metazoa, Chordata, Mammalia, Dasyuromorphia, Dasyuridae. The record is from RefSeq and is a predicted model, not a curated record.